UACGGAGGGUGCAAGCGUUAUCCGGAUUCACUGGGUUUAAAGGGUGCGUAGGCGGCGGCGCAAGUUGGGUGUGAAAUCCCUCGGCUCAACCGAGGAACUGCGCUCAAAACUGCGUCGCUUGAGGAAGAUAGAGGUGAGUGGAACUUAGGGUGGAGCGGUGAAAUGCGUUGAUAUCCUAAGGAACACCAGUGGCGAAAGCGACUCACUGGGUCUUCUCUGACGCUGAGGCACGAAAGCUAGGGUAGCGAACGGG
RNAcentral lists this ribosomal RNA (253 nucleotides) under uncultured bacterium. Its description in RNAcentral is "partial 16S ribosomal RNA". It matches the Rfam family "Bacterial small subunit ribosomal RNA", at positions 524 to 776 of the family's 1533-position model. The record is from RNAcentral.